RNAcentral lists this long non-coding RNA (202 nucleotides) under Elaeis guineensis (African oil palm). RNAcentral's name for it is "long non-coding RNA (EGUI_LNC027327)". Lineage: Eukaryota; Viridiplantae; Streptophyta; Magnoliopsida; Arecales; Arecaceae. The record is from RNAcentral.
GCGAUUUCCAUGACCUUCGAUUCAAAUCUUGGAUCGGAGGGCGUGACAUAAUCUAACAACAUAUUUAAGCAAAUAUGGUCAUCAGGUCAUGUUCCAAAAAAAAGGAGUCCCCCCUGUUGACCAGAGCGAGCCAUCAAGCAUAAAUUUCACACGAUAUAACUCAUAUUUUGGCUCAUGUGAGUUGCUACUUCUUUAGACCCUC